Heterocephalus glaber (naked mole-rat) is the source of this 546-nucleotide RNA transcript. It is a transcript of the gene named MFS-type transporter SLC18B1-like, with no coding region annotated. NCBI's taxonomy places the organism in Eukaryota, Metazoa, Chordata, Mammalia, Rodentia, Bathyergidae. The record is from RefSeq and is a predicted model, not a curated record.
CUUUGCAGUGAAAGUGGGUUUGAAGAGGGAUUAAGUACACUGGGACUUGUAUCAGGCCUCACUAGUGCCAUGUGGUCUGCAGGUGCCUUUAUAGGACCAAUGCCGGGUGGAUUUCUGUAUGAGAAAAUUGGAUUUGAGUGGGCAGCAGCUUGUGGAGGCUUGUGGCCUAUGACUAGUGGAUUAGCGAUGGGCUUGUUUUACCUCCUGGAAAACUCUAGAAGAAGAGCUAAACCCCAGAACUUCAAUGGCACAGAGGAGGAGGAAGCUGCUCUCCUGCCCCUCAGAGUUUAGGUGGAUGAGCUGAGUGACCCGGGCUGGGGAAAGGGAGCGUGGCUGGAAGUCACUGCUGGGAGAUUUCCUGUUUUAUCACAGAGCUCCAUGGACUCCACACUAAUAUGCUGGAAACAUCAACAUAAUUUGGGAUAAUUUCAUAUCAGACUGCACUUCCUGUUGUCCUGAAAAGCUGGCCUACUGAACCAAUCAUAUUUACAACAUUUAUUAUGGGAAAGAUUGUUGAAAAGCAAUAAAAGUUUGUGUCUUUUUGUU